AUACGGAGGGGGCUAGCGUUGUUCGGAAUUACUGGGCGUAAAGCGCGCGUAGGCGGACCAGUCAGUCAGGGGUGAAAUCCCGGGGCUCAACCCCGGAACUGCCUUUGAUACUGCUGGUCUUGAGUUCGAGAGAGGUGAGUGGAAUUCCGAGUGUAGAGGUGAAAUUCGUAGAUAUUCGGAGGAACACCAGUGGCGAAGGCGGCUCACUGGCUCGAUACUGACGCUGAGGUGCGAAAGCGUGGGGAGCAAACAGGAUUAGAAACCCUAGUAGUCC
This 274-nucleotide ribosomal RNA is filed under the name uncultured bacterium. Its description in RNAcentral is "partial 16S ribosomal RNA". It matches the Rfam family "Bacterial small subunit ribosomal RNA", at positions 523 to 796 of the family's 1533-position model. The record is from RNAcentral.